RNAcentral lists this non-coding RNA (127 nucleotides) under unclassified sequences. The record is from RNAcentral.
GUCCUCAGGAAAUGACAAACAUGUGGGGCGUAAGCAAUAUUUACAUUCUAUAAAGAAAAAGUGGAUUGUAAUGCUUUAUAGAAUGCGUAUCCAUAAUAUUGUAAUCGUGCGGACGUUAAAAUCAUGU